AAUACAAGCCAAACAAAUCAUCAUUAUUACACCCUCAGAAUGCUUAUUUUCUCGGGAAAAUUCUAACAUACCUAUUUUCUCUCCAUCCAAACAAUAGAUCCGAUCCAAUCAAAUCCAAAUUCAAAUCUCAUUCAGAUCAAGAAUCGCAUUGCAGAUUUUGCAGAUUUCGAGAAUUAUUACAAUUUUUUAAUCAUCAUUUCGCGUUUGAAAUCGGGCGAAUCGUAGAUUCAAAUCGACAUGGCUAUGGUGGAUCAACCUCUAUAUCCAAUCG
This is a non-coding RNA of Cicer arietinum (chickpea), 271 nucleotides long. NCBI's taxonomy places the organism in Eukaryota, Viridiplantae, Streptophyta, Magnoliopsida, Fabales, Fabaceae. The record is from RefSeq and is a predicted model, not a curated record.